RNAcentral lists this transfer RNA (72 nucleotides) under Trichonephila clavata. It matches the Rfam family "tRNA". Rfam says of the family: Transfer RNA (tRNA) molecules are approximately 80 nucleotides in length. Their secondary structure includes four short double-helical elements and three loops (D, anti-codon, and T loops). The record is from Rfam by way of RNAcentral. Lineage: Eukaryota; Metazoa; Arthropoda; Arachnida; Araneae; Nephilidae.
UCCCAUGUGCACUAGUGGUUAGGAUUCCUGGCUUUCAUCCAGGAAGCCCAGGUUCGAUUCCCGGCGUGGGAA